CCCGCACAAGCGGCGGAGCAUGUGGAUUAAUUCGAUGCAACGCGAAGAACCUUUACCUGGGUUUGACAUACACCGGAAAACCGUAGAGAUACGGUCCCCCUUGUGGUCGGUGUACAGGUGGUGCAUGGCUGUCGUCAGCUCGUGUCGUGAGAUGUUGGGUUAAGUCCCGCAACGAGCGCAACCCUUGUCUUAUGUUGCCAGCACGUGAUGGUGGGGACUCGUAAGAGACUGCCGGGGUCAACUCGGAGGAAGGUGGGGACGACGUCAAGUCAUCAUGCCCCUUAUGUCCAGGGCUUCACACAUGCUACAAUGGCCAGUACAGAGGGCUGCGAGACCGUGAGGUGGAGCGAAUCCCUUAAAGCUGGUCUCAGUUCGGAUCGGGGUCUGCAACUCGACCCCGUGAAGUCGGAGUCGCUAGUAAUCGCAGAUCAGCCACGGCGCGGUGAAUACGUUCCCGGGCCUU
This 463-nucleotide ribosomal RNA is filed under the name uncultured Rhodococcus sp. Its description in RNAcentral is "bacterial SSU rRNA". It matches the Rfam family "Bacterial small subunit ribosomal RNA", at positions 920 to 1382 of the family's 1533-position model. The record is from RNAcentral. Lineage: Bacteria; Bacillati; Actinomycetota; Actinomycetes; Mycobacteriales; Nocardiaceae.